GGUUUGGCAUGUGUCAAAGAAAAAAUAAUUUGUAGCUCUAUGGCACUUGUCAGUCAAUUUAAUUACAAAAGUCUAAAAAAUAUAUGUCCAUCGGAUGUUGAAAUAAUAUGUCGCAAUAGCGAGGACAGCAGCAUUGUGUGUGGACCCUCAAAAUCCGUACAAGAAUUUAUGAAAAAAUUACAGCUUAAUAAUAUUCAUGUGAAAGAGAUUUACUGCAACGUACCGUACCACAGUUCUUAUCUCAUGUUCGUGAAAAAUCAACUUUUGCUGAAUUUGAGUAAAAUAAUUCCACGGCCGAAGAAUCGGAGUUCAAAGUGGAUCAGCUCUUCCGUAUCUUGUACCGAACGGUAUACUUCAGCAUCAAACUUGUCAUCAGCAGAGUAUCAUACGCGUAGUAUAUUAAAUACCGUCCUCUUUGAACAAACCAUGCCUUUAAUUCCAACCAAUGCUGUGACUAUUAAAAUUGCACUAGACAGCGUUUUGCAACACAUUUUGAAAAAAUCCUUGCAUCCGAAAGUGGAGAACAUUGUAUUGAAUCGACGCAAUGAACAAAAUAUCGAAGUAAUUUUACAAGGAAUUGGGAAGCUCUAUAACUGUGGUUUACAACUGCAAGUCGCAAAUAUAUAUCCACCAGUGGAAUUUCCAGUUAGUCGAGGAACUCCUAUGAUUUCUCCAUCAAUCAGAUGGGAUCAUUCCAAAGCCUGGUUUACACCAACAUGUCACCUACAAAAGUAUAUUAAAUCCAGAGAAAGAUACAUUAAAAUCUCGUUUGACAAAAUGGACCACGGUUAUAUGAAAGGACAUGUAAUAGAUGGAAGGAAUUUACUACCAGCGACCGGUUAUAUUGAACUCGUUUGGCAAACUAUCGGCAUGAUAAAAAAGAAAACAUAUAUAACAAUGCCAAUAAUAUUCCAAGAUAUAAGCUUUAUUCGUGCUACUCAUUUAUUGCCAAAUAAAUCUACAAACUUAACAAUUACGAUACAGAAAGAUGGGAAGUUUGAAAUCACCGAAAGAGAAAGCGUUGUAGUGACAGGAACUGUGAACGAAACAUUGAAUCCUGAAAAGGAAAUGACAUCGACAGAUAUAUUAUCAGAUAAUAACGAAGAAGAACAGAUGACUGCUAGAGAUAUCUACAAAAAGUUAAAUUUGCGCGGUUAUCAGUAUAGCGACUUGUUUCGUGGAUUACACAGUGCAUCUGUUACAGGAAACAAAGGACAUGUUGCUUGGAAAAAUAAUUGGACAACAUUUAUGGAUACAAUGCUACAAAUGCAUAUUAUGGGAAAUGAUGGUAGAAAUUUGUAUGUUCCUACAAGUAUACAAAAACUAAUAAUUAAUCCCAAGCUUCAUGCUUGGAAGUUACAAGAUAAUAAAAAUGUCGUAAACGCUACAACUGAAGAUAAUGAUACCUUAUUACCGAUACGAAUAUACAGGGAGAUCGACACAAUUAUAUCUGGCGGAAUAGAGAUUCAAGGCCUUAAAGCCACUCAGAUUUCUAAACGAAAAUUAGUCCAAGAAGCUGUUAUUGAGGAACACAUAUUUGUAGCGCAUCAUGAUUGCGCAAAGAUUUCUUUAAAUGAAGCAAUUCGAAUAUCGGCGCAACUUGUAUUGGAAGAUCAUCAAAUUACUAAAGUUAAAGCUAUCGAGUUAAUAGAAGAAGUUGAUGAAGUUGUAUCAGAACAGCUCUCAUCUUUGAUGUUGCUUGAAGCUUUUAGUGACAUACCAUUAAUACAAGCAAAUAUCACUCUGUUAACAACAUCCAGUCGUUUCAGUUCAGCAAAAUUAUCAGAAAAUAUUUUAAUUGCCGAUUUAAAUAAAACAUCUGUGAAUGAUAAAGUCUUAAUAGUUACCGGAUUUAAUCUUCUAACUAAAGAAAAAACUUCUUUAGAACAACUUUUGCCAUUCUUGAGAGAAGAUGGUUAUCUAUUGACGCGUGAAAAAUGCAAUAUACAUGACUAUAACAAAUAUAAGGAACAAUACAAAUUAAAUGUUAUUUUAGAAAAACGCACUGAUGAAGAAAUGAUUGUUCUUAUGAAGAAGGAAGUUAAGAUAGAAAAAAAUAUGGUUAUUUACAUAAAUAAUGAUAACUUUAACUGGUUGGAUAAUUUAAAGCUGCUUGUGAACGGUGAGAACAAACUCGAUAAGAAAAGUAGAAUAAUACUUGUUGGAGAGGGAGAUUUUGAGUGUGGUUUGUUGGGUUUUGUUAACUGCUUGAGAAAAGAACCAGAUGGAAAACUUGUUAGGGGUGUGCUUAUUCAAGACAAGAAUGCUUCUAAAUUUUCUCUUCAAGAUCCCUUUUAUGUGCAGCAAUUGCAAAAAGAUAUGACUAUUAAUGUAUUACAAUCUAACAAAACUUGGGGAUCGUACCGACAUUUGCGACUGCCACGACCGGAAGCGAAUCCUGUACCUUCCGCUCACAUUUGCCAAAUGGUACGUGGUGACUUGAGUACAUUUCAAUGGACAGAAAACAAUGUUUCCGUCGAACUUCAUCGUGAAAAUUUGAUACGUGUCGUUUAUGCAUCUCUCAAUUUCAAAGACUUAAUGUUGGCCACUGGUAAAUUAAAACCUAAUGAGGCUAUUGCGCGAGAAAGAUUAUUUCAACAUAUUCCUCUUGGUUUGGAAUACGUCGGAUUUGAUGACAACGGAAAUCGUGUAAUGGGAUUGCGUGAUACCGAUUGUAUAGCAAACAUUGUUGUAAAAGAUAAAGAUUUGUGUUGGAAAAUACCCGAUGCGUGAACAUUCGAAGAGGCUGCGACAGUCCCAUGCAUUUACAGCACGUCCUACAUGGCAUUAUACAUUUAUGGCAAAAUGAAAAAAGGCAAUAAAAUACUUAUACAUUCUGGUACUGGUGGCAUUGGACAGGCAGCUAUUCACCUUGCUCUCAAGGAAGGCUGCGAGGUGUUCACUACUGUGGGCACGAAUGACAAACGUAACUUUAUUAAGGAAAUAUUUCCGACUAUUUUGGAUGAUCAUAUUGGUAAUUCUCGAGAUACUAGUUUCGAACAAAUGAUAAUGCGGCAAACGAACGGUCGCGGUGUCGACAUCGUGUUGAAUUCAUUGGCGGAAGAAAAGUUAAUCGCGUCCGUUCGUUGUUUGGCACAAAACGGUCGUUUUCUGGAAAUUGGCAAAUUCGAUCUUAUUUCUAAUAAUCCUUUAAGUAUUUCCGCAUUUAAGAAAAAUAUUAGCUUUCAUGGGGUUCUACUCGAUACUAUAAUGUGUACUGGCGAUCCUAAGUAUAAGUCGCUAAUGUCCAAAAUGGUAACUGAUGGUUUGAAAAAUGAGACCAUUAAACCAAUUCAAGCAAAAAUUUUUUUGAAAACAGAAAUUGAACAAGCUUUUAGAUACAUGGCAAGUGGAAAACACAUGGGCAAGAUUAUUAUACGUAUCCAAGAUAAGUGUAAAUCUACCAAUGAGUCUAUUAUCGCAUAUCGUCGCUAUUAUUGUCUGAAAGACAAAAGUUAUAUUAUAGUAGGAGGUCUGGGUGGAUUUGGAUUGGAACUAACCGAUUGGCUAGUACUUCGAGGUGCCAGAAACAUCAUUUUGAUUUCUCGUACUGGAAUAAAAACUGGUUACCAACAAAUGAAAGUUCGACUGUGAAAAAAGUAUGGUGUAAAUGUACUAAUCGUCAAGAAUAUCGAUGUCGCUGACCCUAAGGAUUGCGAGUAUUUGUUGCGAACCGCGGAAAGAGAAGCACCGGUGGAUGCAAUAUACAAUCUAGCUGUUGUACUGAAGGAUGGUAUUUUAACGAAUCAAACCGCAGAGACAUUUGUUGAGUCCUUUCGAUCAAAAGCUCGAGCGACGCAAACUUUGGACAAACUUUCGAGAAAAAUCUGCCCUAAACUGCGACACUUUGUAGUGUUCUCUUCCGUUUCCUGCGGCAGAGGGAACGCUGGACAGACUAACUAUGGCAUGGCGAAUUCCGUCAUGGAGAGAGUGUGCGAAAAAAGGGCGAAAGAAGGAUUACCUGGAUUAGCAAUUCAGUGGGGAGCUGUAGGUGACGUGGGUCUUGUUGCAGACAUGCAGGAGGACGAUAAGGAACUGGUCAUUGGUGGUACCUUACAACAAAAGAUAUCCUCCUGUCUCGAUGAGCUCGAUAAGUUUUUACUUCAAAGUCGACCGAUUGUGAGCAGCAUGGUGGUAGCUGAAAAGAAAGUGGGACCUUCUAGAUAUAAAAGUCCGAUAGAAACUGUUACCAGUAUUUUAAGAAUGGACUCUAUGACGACCGUGGAAAUCAUACAAAGAUUAGAACGUGAUUUUGACAUUUUUCUCACUACGCAAGAAAUACGAAAUCUUACUUUUGCGAAACUCAAUAAGAUGUCCAAUACAAACUUUAGUGACGAUGACAAGCAAGAUAAAAAAAGUCUUGAUGCAGAAGAUUCAUAUGAAAUAAAAUUUGUAACUAAUGUUUUAAGAGACGAAGAUUUUACUCCAGUGACCUAUUUCGAUUCUUCGACUGAAAGACAGAGUACUAUGACUGAAGUUUUUAUUAUACCUGCACAUAUUACCAAAGUUAAAAAAUGGAAAAGAUUUUGUAAUGGUAGGGUACUCUUCUGGAUCUAUACUUGCAAUCGAAAUAACAAGAAGGUUGGAAGCUAUGAAUAUUAA
Molecule: RNA transcript, 4602 nt
Organism: Solenopsis invicta (red fire ant)
Lineage: Eukaryota; Metazoa; Arthropoda; Insecta; Hymenoptera; Formicidae
Gene name: fatty acid synthase
Exons: 10
Source: RefSeq, a predicted model, not a curated record